UACGUAGGUGGCAAGCGUUAUCCGGAAUUAUUGGGCGUAAAGCGCUCGUAGGCGGUUUUUGAAGUCUGAUGUGAAAGCCCACGGCUCAACCGUGGAGGGUCAUUGGAAACUGGAAGACUAGAGUGCGGAAGAGGAAAAUGGAAUUCCAUGUGUAGCGGUGAAAUGCGCAGAGAUGAGGAGGAACACCAGUGGCGAAGGCGAGUUUCUGGUCUGUAACUGACGCUGAUGUGCGAAAGCGUGGGGAGCAAACAGG
This 253-nucleotide ribosomal RNA is filed under the name uncultured bacterium. RNAcentral's name for it is "partial 16S ribosomal RNA". It matches the Rfam family "Bacterial small subunit ribosomal RNA", at positions 524 to 776 of the family's 1533-position model. The record is from RNAcentral.